Molecule: long non-coding RNA, 427 nt
Organism: Oncorhynchus tshawytscha (Chinook salmon)
Lineage: Eukaryota; Metazoa; Chordata; Actinopteri; Salmoniformes; Salmonidae
Source: Ensembl
CGGUACAGAGUCAAUGUGGAGACUAUAUACAGGGGGUACCGGUACAGAGUCAAUGUGGAGGCUAUAUACAGGGGGUACCGGUACAGAGUCAAUGUGGAGGCUAUAUACAGGGUAUUACGGUACAGAGUCAAUGUGGAGGCUAUAUACAGGGGGUACCGGUACAGAGUCAAUGUGGAGGCUAUAUACAGGGGGUACUGGUACAGAGUCAAUGUGGAGGUUAUAUACAGGGUAUUACGGUACAGAGUCAAUGUGGAGGCUAUAUACAGGGGGUACUGGUACAGAGUCAAUGUGGAGGCUAUAUUCAGGGUAUUACGGUACAGAGUCAAUGUGGAGGCUAUAUACAGGGUGUUACUGUACAGAGUCAAUGUGGAGGCUAUAUACAGGGUGUUACGGUACAGAGUCAAUGUGGAGGCUAUAUACAGGGUUG